GGUGGCAUGGAGGACUUCAUUCACACAUGAAAUUCUUUCAUGAUAAGGUAGUAAACUAAUUAAAUCCAUACCUAAUCCAAUUAGGUCAAAGGCAACAGGUUAAGCUUAGCUCAAACACUUUGAACUAACCUAAUUGGGAACUUGGGUUAAGACAAUAUACUAGCAUAUCAAAUUAAUCCAUAGAAUUUAUAACAAAUCCUAAUUAGAUCAAAUCAAGAUCA
RNAcentral lists this long non-coding RNA (221 nucleotides) under Elaeis guineensis (African oil palm). RNAcentral's name for it is "long non-coding RNA (EGUI_LNC029395)". Lineage: Eukaryota; Viridiplantae; Streptophyta; Magnoliopsida; Arecales; Arecaceae. The record is from RNAcentral.